CCUACGGGGAGGCAGCAGUAGGGAAUCUUCCACAAUGGACGCAAGUCUGAUGGAGCAACGCCGCGUGAGUGAAGAAGGGUUUCGGCUCGUAAAGCUCUGUUGUUAAAGAAGAACGUGGGUAAGAGUAACUGUUUACCCAGUGACGGUAUUUAACCAGAAAGCCACGGCUAACUACGUGCCAGCAGCCGCGGUAAUACGUAGGUGGCAAGCGUUAUCCGGAUUUAUUGGGCGUAAAGCGAGCGCAGGCGGUCUUUUAAGUCUAAUGUGAAAGCCUUCGGCUCAACCGAAGAAGUGCAUUGGAAACUGGGAGACUUGAGUGCAGAAGAGGACAGUGGAACUCCAUGUGUAGCGGUGAAAUGCGUAGAUAUAUGGAAGAACACCAGUGGCGAAGGCGGCUGUCUGGUCUGCAACUGACGCUGAGGCUCGAAAGCAUGGGUAGCGAACAGGAUUAGAUACCCUGGUAGUCCAUGCCGUAAACGAUGAUUACUAAGUGUUGGAGGGUUUCCGCCCUUCAGUGCUGCAGCUAACGCAUUAAGUAAUCCGCCUGGGGAGUACGACCGCAAGGUUGAAACUCAAAGAAAUUUGACG
This 588-nucleotide ribosomal RNA is filed under the name bacterium FYS1C. Its description in RNAcentral is "bacterial SSU rRNA". It matches the Rfam family "Bacterial small subunit ribosomal RNA", at positions 338 to 915 of the family's 1533-position model. The record is from RNAcentral.